AUUGAACGCUGGCGGCAGGCCUAACACAUGCAAGUCGAGCGGAUGAAGGGAGCUUGCUCCUGGCUUCAGCGGCGGACGGGUGAGUAAUGCCUAGGAAUCUGCCUGGUAGUGGGGGAUAACGUCCGGAAACGGGCGCUAAUACCGCAUACGUCCUGAGGGAGAAAGUGGGGGAUCUUCGGACCUCACGCUAUCAGCUGAGCCUAGGUCGGAUUAGCUAGUUGGUGGGGUAAAGGCCUACCAAGGCGACGAUCCGUAACUGGUCUGAGAGGAUGAUCAGUCACACUGGAACUGAGACACGGUCCAGACUCCUACGGGAGGCAGCAGUGGGGAAUAUUGGACAAUGGGCGAAAGCCUGAUCCAGCCAUGCCGCGUGUGUGAAGAAGGUCUUCGGAUUGUAAAGCACUUUAAGUUGGGAGGAAGGGAAGUAAGUUAAUACCUUGCUGUUUUGACGGUACCAACAGAAUAAGCACCGGCUAACUUCGUG
RNAcentral lists this ribosomal RNA (484 nucleotides) under uncultured bacterium. RNAcentral's name for it is "partial 16S ribosomal RNA". It matches the Rfam family "Bacterial small subunit ribosomal RNA", at positions 30 to 507 of the family's 1533-position model. The record is from RNAcentral.